CCAGCUCUCCGAGUAGUGUGGACGUUUAUUGGGCCUAAAGCAUCCGUAGCUUGCUAGGCAAGUCCCCUGUUAAAUCCACCGAUUCAAUCGAUGGUUUGCGGGGGAUACUGUUUGGCUAGGGGACGGGAGAGGUCGACGGUAUUUCCGGGGUAGGGGUGAAAUCCUAUAUCCCGGGAGGACCACCAGUGGCGAAGG
This 195-nucleotide ribosomal RNA is filed under the name uncultured crenarchaeote. RNAcentral describes it as "partial 16S ribosomal RNA". It matches the Rfam family "Archaeal small subunit ribosomal RNA", at positions 476 to 672 of the family's 1478-position model. The record is from RNAcentral. Lineage: Archaea; Thermoproteati; Thermoproteota.